This 409-nucleotide long non-coding RNA is filed under the name Mytilus galloprovincialis (Mediterranean mussel). Lineage: Eukaryota; Metazoa; Mollusca; Bivalvia; Mytilida; Mytilidae. The record is from RNAcentral.
AACAAAACUAAGAAUAUGUAUUGAUUAUCUACAGCUAAGUGUUAAGUAUCAUAUAUAUUUGAAGUUUUCAGAGUUAUAUGAUGGUGCUCGUGGAAAAGCACACACACAGAAUAAAUCAAUAGGUAGUUGCAUGCACAUGACAGGUAUUGCUAGUCUGUUCAGUCGCAACCAUUUGAUUAGGAAUAAUAAUAAAAAGACAAAUAGUCAGAUAACCCAAACAGAAUUGAUCGCAUCAUCACAUAUCAUAUGAUUCUAACAUCACAUUAUAUAAUGAAUGUCACAUCUGGAACAAUAACAAACCAGUAAUACCAGUAAACUAUUAGUGUGGACAUGAACUGAGUAGAGAUAUUAAUUAAGUCCAGAUUGUGUUUGAAAAAUUUUCGACGAGAUGAUUUAAACUUAACCACAC